RNAcentral lists this transfer RNA (68 nucleotides) under Agriotes ustulatus. RNAcentral describes it as "tRNA-Phe". The record is from RNAcentral. Lineage: Eukaryota; Metazoa; Arthropoda; Insecta; Coleoptera; Elateridae.
ACUUAAAUAGCUUAAUUAAUUAGAGCAUGAUAUUGAAGAUAUCAAGGAGAUUUGUACAUCUUUAAGUA